UACGUAGGGUGCAAGCGUUGUCCGGAAUUAUUGGGCGUAAAGAGCUCGUAGGCGGUUCGUCGCGUCGGCUGUGAAAUCCCGAGGCUCAACCUCGGGUCUGCAGUCGAUACGGGCGGACUGGAGUUCGGCAGGGGAGACUGGAAUUCCUGGUGUAGCGGUGAAAUGCGCAGAUAUCAGGAGGAACACCGAUGGCGAAGGCAGGUCUCUGGGCCGCUACUGACGCUGAGGAGCGAAAGCGUGGGGAGCGAACAGG
This 253-nucleotide ribosomal RNA is filed under the name uncultured bacterium. RNAcentral's name for it is "partial 16S ribosomal RNA". It matches the Rfam family "Bacterial small subunit ribosomal RNA", at positions 524 to 776 of the family's 1533-position model. The record is from RNAcentral.